AUCAAAGUAACCUGCACCAAUGGAAUUAAUGCAAUGUGAAGUGUAAUAAUUGGUGAAGAAGAGAUGAGCCUACUGUAUAAAUUUCUACGUUUUCAUUUUCUAACACUGAUUAUCUACAGAAAUAAUGAAAAUUUCAAUUAAAAAACAGUAAUGAUAAAUUAAAAAAAGAAAGGAUCCAGCUCCAGUUCCAUUUUUUGAAAUUAUUAUAUUGCACUGUUGUUGGAAAUUUCAUGAACCGCUUCUCGAGGCAAAGAAAGAUUCCAAG
This 265-nucleotide unclassified non-coding RNA is filed under the name Hevea brasiliensis (rubber tree). The record is from RNAcentral. Lineage: Eukaryota; Viridiplantae; Streptophyta; Magnoliopsida; Malpighiales; Euphorbiaceae.